This 272-nucleotide long non-coding RNA is filed under the name Lathyrus oleraceus (garden pea). RNAcentral's name for it is "Pisum sativum (pea) long non-coding RNA (PSAT_LNC016206)". Lineage: Eukaryota; Viridiplantae; Streptophyta; Magnoliopsida; Fabales; Fabaceae. The record is from RNAcentral.
AAGCAUUGAUGGUUUCUCUAAAGCGUUUGGUUUGAUAAACUUUUCCUCCCCAACAGCAAGUCAGUUUCCCCAACCGAGUUUGUAAUCACCUCCCCAGCUGAGUUGUAAGCUCAUGUCCUCAACGGUUUGCAUGGACCCAACCCAGAGUUUUAUCUCCUGUAAGUCCCCAGCGGAGUUCAUUUCUGAUCCCCGACAGUGUUGAUUCAUGAGAAGUAUUUGAUUUGUGUCCCCUGCGAGGUUGUCUCAUUUGAUUUAAUAUUGAACUAAAAUUC